AGAGUUUGAUCCUGGCUCAGAACGUACGCUGGCGGCACGCCUAACACAUGCAAGUCGAACGAAGUAGCAAUACUUAGUGGCGAACGGGUGAGUAUAAUGUAGGUAUCUGCCCUUUGGUUUGGAAUAACACGAGGAAACUUGUGCUAAUACCGGAUAAGCCUUCACAGGGAAAGCUUUAGCGCCAAAGGAUGAGUCUGCACUUGAUUAGCUAGUUGGUAAGGUAAUGGCUUACCAAGGCUACGAUCAAUAGCUGAUCUGAGAGGAUGAUCAGCCACAUUGGGACUGAGACACGGCCCAAACUCCUACGGGAGGCAGCAGUGGGGAAUCUUGCACAAUGGGGGAAACCCUGAUGCAGCGAUGCCGCGUGAGUGAAGAAGGCCUUUGGGUUGUAAAACUCUUUCGUCGGGGAAGAAAAUGACUGUACCCGAAUAAGAAGGUCCGGCUAACUUCGUGCCAGCAGCCGCGGUAAUACGAAGGGACCUAGCGUAGUUCGGAAUUACUGGGCUUAAAGAGCACGUAGGUGGUUAAAAAAGUUGGUGGUGAAAUCCCAAGGCUCAACCUUGGAACUGCCAUCAAAACUUUUUAACUAGAGUAUGAUAGAGGUAAGCGGAAUUUCUAGUGUAGAGGUGAAAUUCGUAGAUAUUAGAAAGAACACCAAUUGCGAAGGCAGCUUUCUGGAUCAUUACUGACACUGAGGUGCGAAAGCAUGGGUAGCGAAGAGGAUUAGAUACCCUCGUAGUCCAUGCCGUAAACGAUGUGUGCUAGACGUUGGGAAUUUAUUUUUCAGUGUCGCAGCAAAAGCGUUAAGCACACCGCCUGGGGAGUACGACCGCAAGGUUAAAACUCAAAUGAAUUGACGGGGACCCGCACAAGUAGUGGAGCAUGUGGUUUAAUUCGAAGAUACGCGCAGAACCUUACCAACACUUGACAUGUUCGUCGCGACUCUAAGAGAUUAGAGUUUUCGGUUCGGCCGGACGAAACACAGGUGCUGCAUGGCUGUCGUCAGCUCGUGUCGUGAGAUGUUGGGUUAAGUCCCGCAACGAGCGCAACCCUUACUUUUAGUUGCUACCAUUCAGUUGGGCACUCUAAAAGAACUGCCAGUGAUAAGCUGGAGGAAGGUGGGGAUGACGUCAAGUCCUCAUGGCCCUUAUGUGUUGGGCUACACACGUGCUACAAUGGUAUUUACAGUGGGAAGCAAAGAGGCAACUCCUAGCCAACCCUCAAAAAAUACCUCAGUUCGGAUUGUACUCUGCAACUCGAGUACAUGAAGCUGGAAUUACUAGUAAUCGCAGAUCAGCGUGCUGCGGUGAAUACGUUCCCGGGUCUUGUACACACCGCCCGUCACACCAUGGAAGUUGGUUACACCUUAAGGCAAAGUGUAAAACCUUUGACUACGGUACGAUCAAUGACUGGGGUGAAGUCGUAACAAGGUAACC
This 1436-nucleotide ribosomal RNA is filed under the name uncultured bacterium. RNAcentral's name for it is "bacterial SSU rRNA". It matches the Rfam family "Bacterial small subunit ribosomal RNA". The record is from RNAcentral.